GGGGACUGAACAUCGUUCACCGAAUACACUUUGUGAUGACUGCAUUCCGUAACCAAAUUGUUGGUGGCAAUAUUGGUAUUAUGGGAUACACCAAGUUGAAGUAAUUAUGAUGGUACCUUUGAAGCUGAAAUUUUUGACAUGAGAUAGAAAUAUGAAAGCUUAAUCAGGCUAUAUAAACAUCCUGUAGUUCUGAAUUUCAGUUGGAGGCCUCAGUAUGAUUAACAGUAUGGUUAAUCUUUAAAAACACAUCUCUCCUACGUGCUCCAUUGAAAAGGCCUAGAGACAAGCUACCCAGGAGGAAGAAGCACCCCCUUGCGCUCACACUGUGAUCUCUACCAACCAUUUCCCAUUAAAAGAAACACUGACUCCAUAGAACAAUGGAUGAUCUUGGGUCUGGAGCAGGAAAUGUACAAGAUAAGCCUGCAACAUCUUACAUCAGGAAGCAGCAAAGCAAUCAAAAGGCUAUUAGGGUCAUAUCAAAAGGACUCAGGAUCCACCUUGAAAACCUUCCUACUGGCCAAAGAUAGGAUGAUUUAAAACAUAAAUAAAGGUAACUGUAAUUGGAUGAAGGACAGAUACAUUUAAGUAAUCAUAUCAGACACGACCAAUCAACCAAACAUGCAAGCCAAAAAGGUAUCGCUGUUCAUUUUUAAUGACAGAAGGAAACCAACUCUUAUUCUGAAAACUGGUAAACAAAGGGAAAGAAUCAGGAAUAUUUAUACUGUCUUUCCUGUAUGAAUUA
Long non-coding RNA from Homo sapiens (human), 742 nucleotides. Ensembl annotates it as EOGT divergent transcript. Its record names the gene EOGT-DT. The record is from Ensembl. Lineage: Eukaryota; Metazoa; Chordata; Mammalia; Primates; Hominidae.